This is a long non-coding RNA of Gossypium raimondii (Peruvian cotton), 1048 nucleotides long. RefSeq lists it as uncharacterized. The record is from RefSeq and is a predicted model, not a curated record. NCBI's taxonomy places the organism in Eukaryota, Viridiplantae, Streptophyta, Magnoliopsida, Malvales, Malvaceae. The transcript is spliced from 2 exons.
UUUUCAUUCUAUUUUUCCUUUCUUCUGGUUUUUUUUUUUGCUUCUUUCCUUCUCCUCUUUCUCUCUUCUCCUCCCAUAAAAAACUUAGUCACCGCUGCUCUGUCCAACCUUUGAUCAGUCGAAUUUUCACAUCGGCUUGAAUUUCCUUCCUUUCUCUUGCUUUCUACAUGUGUUGAUUUCUUAGUCUUGAAAUUCGAAAGGUGAAGGUAUGGCAUUUGGCUAAGGGGCGAAGUUAGAACAAUAUUUUAGGGGUUAUAUUUUUAUUAUUUUUAAAGGAUUAAAUUAAAUUUUUAUAAUUUUAAGGAGAGUCAACAUAUAAUUUGAUCUUUAUUAAUUUAAAAUUUUUAAAAAAUUUAAAAAACUUAAAUUACAAUUUUUCAUUUUAGGGGCCGGCCCCAUGCCAGCCCCUAGAAUUGCCUCUGACUAAAUUCAGAUUUGAUGAUUUUGAGAAUAAUUUUUGAAAAAAAAAAAUAGAAGCCCAAAUCCAAUCCAACAGCUUGAAAACCGUUGGCUAAUGAAGUUUGGCGACGAAUUGAGGCUUCGUCGUGGUGCUUGACGGUGAUCGGACCUCAUGCAAGUAUGGAUUUCUCUGAUUGACGACGACCGGAAUUGAGUUUCUCUGUUUGAUGAUGAGCGAAGCACAUGCAAUAACGAUGAAAUGUGGGUUUGUUGUUGAAACUGAGAAACGAGGUCCAUUGUGGAGAAGAUGAGAGGCAGGAGCAGUUGGGUCUUCCCACCAACCAGGAGAUUGAGAACCAAAACAUGCUAAAAAAAUUCAUGGCAUAGAAUCCAAAUUUUGACUUCACCAAUGCUAGGAUGAUUUGGAUGUAGAUUAUCUGUUCCUUGAUUUUCGAUUACUACGACUUUCUUAAUUAGGUUUGUUCUUGUUUAUUGUUUAUUAGUGUUUCGAAAUGAAAAGAAAAGAAAAACUAGAUUCAGAUUUUCCGGGAAAGAAAACAAGUUUUAUUUGUUAAGGGGAGGAAAAUAAGCAAAAUUAAUAGUUUAGGGUUAUCAUUUUUAAAGUUAUAAAAUUUAUUAACAUAUUCUA